Molecule: transfer RNA, 72 nt
Filed under: Trichonephila clavipes
Lineage: Eukaryota; Metazoa; Arthropoda; Arachnida; Araneae; Nephilidae
Rfam family: tRNA
About the family: Transfer RNA (tRNA) molecules are approximately 80 nucleotides in length. Their secondary structure includes four short double-helical elements and three loops (D, anti-codon, and T loops).
Source: Rfam by way of RNAcentral
GGGAGUAUAGCUUAGUGGUAGGGCAUUCGACAGCAGAUCGAGAGGUCCCCGGUUUAAACCUGGGUGCCCCCU